AUUGAACGCUGGCGGCAUGCCUUACACAUGCAAGUCGAACGGUAACAGGUUAAGCUGACGAGUGGCGAACGGGUGAGUAAUGUAUCGGAACGUGCCCAGUCGUGGGGGAUAACUUCUCGAAAGAGCAGCUAAUACCGCAUACGACCUGAGGGUGAAAGCGGGGGAUCGCAAGACCUCGCGCGAUUGGAGCGGCCGAUAUCAGAUUAGGUAGUUGGUGAGGUAAAGGCUCACCAAGCCGACGAUCUGUAGCUGGUCUGAGAGGACGACCAGCCACACUGGGACUGAGACACGGCCCAGACUCCUACGGGAGGCAGCAGUGGGGAAUUUUGGACAAUGGGCGCAAGCCUGAUCCAGCCAUGCCGCGUGCGAGAAGAAGGCCUUCGGGUUGUAAACCGCUUUUGUCAGGGAAGAAAAGGUUCUGGCUAAUACCUGGGACUCAUGACGGUACCUGAAGAAUAAGCACCGGCUAACUACGUG
This 477-nucleotide ribosomal RNA is filed under the name uncultured bacterium. RNAcentral's name for it is "partial 16S ribosomal RNA". It matches the Rfam family "Bacterial small subunit ribosomal RNA", at positions 30 to 507 of the family's 1533-position model. The record is from RNAcentral.